GAGAAGACUUUAGAUAUGAUCCAGAGUACCACGGGACACGUGAAACCCUGUGGGAAGCAGGAGGGACCACCCUCCAAGGCUAAAUACUACCUAGUGACCGAUAGCGUAUAGUACCGUGAGGGAAAGGCGAAAAGAACCCCGGGAGGGGAGUGAAAUAGAACCUGAAACCCUGCACUUACAAGCUGUGGAAGCACAUUUCUUGUGUGACCGCGUACUUUUUGUAGAAC
RNAcentral lists this ribosomal RNA (227 nucleotides) under Clostridioides difficile. RNAcentral's name for it is "partial 23S ribosomal RNA". It matches the Rfam family "Bacterial large subunit ribosomal RNA", at positions 387 to 616 of the family's 2925-position model. Lineage: Bacteria; Bacillati; Bacillota; Clostridia; Peptostreptococcales; Peptostreptococcaceae. The record is from RNAcentral.